UACGUAGGUGGCAAGCGUUGUCCGGAAUUAUUGGGCGUAAAGCGCGCGCAGGCGGUUCCUUAAGUCUGAUGUGAAAGCCCACGGCUCAACCGUGGAGGGUCAUUGGAAACUGGGGGACUUGAGUGCAGAAGUGGAGAGUGGAAUUCCACGUGUAGCGGUGAAAUGCGUAGAGAUGUGGAGGAACACCAGUGGCGAAGGCGGCUCUCUGGUCUGUAACUGACGCUGAGGCGCGAAAGCGUGGGGAGCAAACAGG
RNAcentral lists this ribosomal RNA (253 nucleotides) under uncultured bacterium. Its description in RNAcentral is "partial 16S ribosomal RNA". It matches the Rfam family "Bacterial small subunit ribosomal RNA", at positions 524 to 776 of the family's 1533-position model. The record is from RNAcentral.